This 2276-nucleotide long non-coding RNA is filed under the name Helianthus annuus (common sunflower). Lineage: Eukaryota; Viridiplantae; Streptophyta; Magnoliopsida; Asterales; Asteraceae. The record is from RNAcentral.
UUCGCUUUGGGAUUCUUAGGGUUUUUUUCCUUUCUAUCAUUCUUUUUCAGCAAGAAACCGUUUCUUCUACAUCAAACCCUAGCUCUUGUUAACGUAUCUUCUAGAUCAGAUCGAUAAUGGUAAUUGCUAUUGAUCUUGAAUCCCAAAAAUCAUCUAUUGAGACUCCUUCAUCCCUCAAACCCUAGCUGUUGUUAACGUAUCUUCUACAUCAGAUCGACAAUGGUAAUUGCUGACGUGAAACACCAUCUUCAAGAUCUAUGGUUUUGCGUUGGUCUGAGUCAACAACGAUGGUACCUGGAAGGAUGAAAAUGUUGUUCUCAUUUUAGGGUUUUCAAUUCUUCACUCCAAUGGAUUUUACUAAUCAUGUUUAUCUAAUGAAGAUCCCUUGAAGAAUAAAUCUUCUAAAGUUGCCAAUGCAUCAAUUCUUGCAUCGUCAUUGGUGUGAACUUUUCAAGUUUUUAGUUGCUUGAAUCAAUGCUUGAUGAUGAUGAUGAUGAUGAUGAUGUGGUAAAUAUUGAAAUGGAGUUAUACAUGGUGUCAAAAUGUGUAAAUUGCAAAGUCCCUUGAUGUGGGAAAUUGUAUCUCGAUGCAAAACAGUGGCAUACAAACUCUCCAAGAGAAAGACUGUUGACACCUUGCAGUCUCUACUUUCUACACAUUAUUCUUUUCAGCAAAAGUGCAAUGAUGAUCAUGGUGAACAAGAGUAUCAGCAUGUUUUCUGGAUUUGUCCGGUCUAACGACGAGUAGGAAAAGCAAAAGUUAGAGACGAAAGACAAGCUUGACAAAUUCACUAAAUAAAAGUUGGAGUUUUUUGAUAUUUUAAAUCCUCAAAUUCACUAAAUUUUUGUUUAUAUAUUUUCAGGAAGAAGUUUUGUUAAAAUUAUCAUAGUUUCUAGAAUCUCCACUUGCUACAAUUGAAGUCCUGCUUGCUGAAAAAGAACAGGUUUGUUUACACCUUAAAAUGGUUAUAUCGGUAUUUGGUUUGAACUGGUCGGGUGAAUCUGGUAAUUUGGUUAUUUUAGUUCAAUGUUUGGGCAGAUUGGAUCACCGAUGAUAGCACAGAUGUUGGCGGCUAAUCUCAUUUUGAAUCGAAGCGUGUAAUUAAUUAGGGUUUGGAGGCUAAUCUUUUUUUUUAUCAGAAAGUUAGGGCUUGAAGAGCAUCCAACAAUGCCUUCGGUGCUUUCGCUCGAAUUUUUUAUUAUUCCUCCUUUGGCUACCUCUUCUUAUAUCGGUCGUUCGUAUUCUCAUUGUCUUAAACGUCAUCGUUGUGGUAAUCUUAUUAGUUAACAAUUGCUUUAUUUUUUGUUGUCAAAUUAGUAUCUGUUUCUGCAUUUGUUGACCUUUUUCUUCAUCAUCGUCAUCGGUUUACUGUUUUUGAGGCGGUCAAUUAGUUGUAUCAAGAGACACGAGAUUGUUUGGAUUGGUUUCGGUUUCUGCGUGGUUGAAGUUUGGUCAAACCUAGAUCUGAUCUUGCUAAAAAGGUCCUAGAUUGAUUGUACAUUUGUACAUAAGAAGCUACAACAACCACAAAACAUCAGGUUCUUGAAGAUGAAAGAGCAUGAAUAUAUGUAGAGGUGCUACAUCAAGUAGUGUUUUUACUUUUAUUAAGUCAAGGGAAGAGGAAUUGAUCAAAGUAUUUUUGUCAUAAGGUUUGAGAUGCCAUAUAGUAUCUGGUGUGGUGGUUACAACUAUAUAAAUUUCAAAAGGCGAGAGGUUCAUGCAAAAGCUACUAUUUUUUGUUUCACUGAUUGAGGGGCAAACGUUGCAAUGUCUAAAUUCGAUGCUGAAGACUGGCUGCGUUUUGAGGCAUGGAACAAAGAGUCUGAGAUAAACAACCCUACCAACAUUGAGAAAUUGCUGAGAUUCAGGGUGUUUCAAUAAUAUCUCCAUGAAUUAGGCCUCUAACAGAAGAGGAUCCCAUACGAUCAAAUUCGUUGGGUGUGAACGUACUCACGGACCGCACUGAUGAGGAGAUGGAGAAGGACUUCAGUGGAUACGAAGGUGAAACCGAGGAAGACGAUGACGAGGUCGAGGAAAUGGACGAGGACCGUGUUGAUGAGAUGUCUGUCAUAUGCCAAAAAAGAGGUUGUAAGUUUUUAACCACGAUUAUCAUUUAAGUACAAAUAACAUCUUUGAUUACAAGAUUUAGCAAUGAUAUGUAAAUAAUAAAUGUUAGGUGAUGAAAGUAAUUGUUGAUGGUACCAUCAUCAUCUUACGCAAGUAUCUGUUGUUGUGUACAAUAAAUGUAAUCAUAUAGUUAUUUAUUUGUUUUUUUA